ACGGGUGAGUAACGCGUGGGAACGUGCCUUCUGGUCUGGAAUAACCCUGGGAAACUAGGGCUAAUACCGGAUACGCCCUUUUGGGGAAAGGUUUACUGCCGGAAGAUCGGCCCGCGUCUGAUUAGCUAGUUGGUGGGGUAACGGCCUACCAAGGCGACGAUCAGUAGCUGGUCUGAGAGGAUGAUCAGCCACACUGGGACUGAGACACGGCCCAGACUCCUACGGGAGGCAGCAGUGGGGAAUAUUGGACAAUGGGCGCAAGCCUGAUCCAGCCAUGCCGCGUGAGUGAUGAAGGCCUUAGGGUUGUAAAGCUCUUUUAUCCGGGACGAUAAUGACGGUACCGGAGGAAUAAGCCCCGGCUAACUUCGUGCCAGCAGCCGCGGUAAUACGAAGGGGGCUAGCGUUGCUCGGAAUCACUGGGCGUAAAGGGCGCGUAGGCGGCGUUUUAAGUCGGGGGUGAAAGCCUGUGGCUCAACCACAGAAUGGCCUUCGAUACUGGGACGCUUGAGUAUGGUAGAGGUUGGUGGAACUGCGAGUGUAGAGGUGAAAUUCGUAGA
This 557-nucleotide ribosomal RNA is filed under the name uncultured Methylobacterium sp. Its description in RNAcentral is "bacterial SSU rRNA". It matches the Rfam family "Bacterial small subunit ribosomal RNA", at positions 102 to 694 of the family's 1533-position model. Lineage: Bacteria; Pseudomonadati; Pseudomonadota; Alphaproteobacteria; Hyphomicrobiales; Methylobacteriaceae. The record is from RNAcentral.